This 1253-nucleotide long non-coding RNA is filed under the name Drosophila guanche. Lineage: Eukaryota; Metazoa; Arthropoda; Insecta; Diptera; Drosophilidae. The record is from RNAcentral.
AUAAAGGGUCUGCCACGGCUGUGUCUUCAUUAGUUAUCAGAACGAUUAGUUCUCAGCAGCAAAAAGUAAACGGAGAGAAUGAAUAUCCACGUAGUUUUGUCUUUAUUUGUUGGUAAGUGCAAUCAGUUUUGGCAUUAUUUUAUACUUUACACAACUACUCUUUCUUUUGUUUAGUCCUCUGCCUGACUUUGAUAUCUGGCCAGAGGGAGGACUGCGAGGCACUGCAACGCGCUUGCGAUAGUUGCUCGAGGAGAUUGAAUAAUUCGUCGGAUCGUGGCCUGCCCCUGUUGAAUAGGGAGUGCAGGCAGAAGACUCGUAGUACCUGGGUUUGGCGCAAUGUUACCCGAUGCGAACUGACCAGAUUAAACUGUAUCGGUAAGUCGAACUGGGAUAGCUUCUGAAAUUACUUAUCUUAAUCGAAAAUAUUUCUCUUUAUAGGAUCUAAUCGUCGCAUGAACUGUGCAGAUAUAGCUGAACUUGCUGGUAUGCGACGUGUCAGGAACUGAGGAACUAUUGAGCUGAUUUGAUAUGAUGAUUUAAAUUUAAUUUAAAAUAAAAUAUAUACAAGAGAGCAUUGAAGUAAAAUCAAAGGACUUUGUUAUGCCCACCACUUGCCAACCACCCUGGCUAGAUAUCACACAGGGCAAGAAUGCCAUAUACACACUGACAGCCACUACCAACAAUGACGAGAAAUGUGCAGUUCGAAAAGUCUGAGAAGAAAAGCAGAUGUUGAGCUUGUCCACUCGUCUGUCGUAGGCCUUUGUGCAUGUUUAAUGUUCGAAUUGGGGCUUUUGUCUUCUGUGCCUUCCAUAGAUCUGGCCCAAAUGGUAACUCAGGGCGUGAGCAAGCAAUCAUUUUUGCACCAAUUGCCGUACUUUAGUGACGAUAUUCUCAAGCGAUGCGCUGCGAACGUAAGAUGAAUAUUGAUUAUGGCAGAAAUUUUCUUUUUACAUGUUCCUGUUUGGUGUUUUUCAGAAAAUCUAAACCCUUUUCGGCAUCAUGGAGCUGGAGGAUGAGGAUCAUACGCGUCUGUAGCAGGUCUCCAGACAGAUCGCCGAUGGGGCCCGAUUUGCCAACUAUGUGGUCAAUCUGGAGAGUGAAUGCUCUUCAAUGCAACCUUCUUCCAUCCGAAGAUCGAGAAAGGCAAGCAUGAUCCACUCCUCUUUGGGAUGCAAUCAGGACUACAAGUUCUACAUCGAAGUGGCCGAUUUCCAAUCUGAUUUGAUACCAUGUCGGAGUAGGUUAAGUUUAGG